RNAcentral lists this ribosomal RNA (510 nucleotides) under uncultured Acidobacteriota bacterium. Its description in RNAcentral is "bacterial SSU rRNA". It matches the Rfam family "Bacterial small subunit ribosomal RNA", at positions 356 to 857 of the family's 1533-position model. The record is from RNAcentral. Lineage: Bacteria; Pseudomonadati; Acidobacteriota.
UGGGAAUUGUUCGCAAUGGGCGCAAGCCUGACGACGCAACGCCGCGUGGAGGAUGAAGAUCUUCGGGUCGUAAACUCCUGUCGAGCGGGACGAAUGGUCCGCGACCUAAUACGUCGUGGAAGUGACGGUACCGCUAGAGGAAGCCCCGGCUAACUCCGUGCCAGCAGCCGCGGUAAUACGGGGGGGCUAGCGUUGUUCGGAAUUACUGGGCGUAAAGGGCUCGUAGGUGGCCAACUAAGUCAUGCGUGAAAUCCCUCGGCUUAACCGGGGAACUGCGUCUGAUACUGGAUGGCUUGAAUCCGGGAGAGGGAUGCGGAAUUCCAGGUGUAGCGGUGAAAUGCGUAGAUAUCUGGAGGAACACCGGUGGCGAAGGCGGCAUCCUGGACCGGCAUUGACACUGAGGAGCGAAAGCCAGGGGAGCAAACGGGAUUAGAUACCCCGGUAGUCCUGGCCCUAAACGAUGAAUGCUUGGUGUGACGGGUAUCGAUCCCUGUCGUGCCGAAGCUAACG